GCUAGGUUAGGUGUUGAAUUCCAGAUAUAUUGUAGUAUAGUUGGUCCAUUGUGCUGGCUUAAAUAGGUGAUAACUCGGAAGAAACAGUGUAUUGAACAUCCGUGGAGAAAGAUAACAUUUGGUAACACGUUCAAUUAGCGAGCUAAACAAAGUGAAGUGAAAUUACGUGUGCCGCGCGCUGAAAACGGAAGCAGUAAAAAGUGAAACUAUUAGCUGUGACGACUGGCAACCAGCAAAUGUAUAAGAGAAAAGGCGCACACAUAAUAAUAAAAGAAAAUAAAAAUUAAGGAAUUUUCGCAGUCAAAAUAUUAAUUGAUAAAAAAGGCAGUGGAAAGUGUGCAAGGAGUUUUUACCAAUCAAUUAAGACAAUAAUUCAAUAUCGCUGUGCGCUGCACGUUCGAGCGACUUCUUGAAAUGACUUUUAAAUGCUGUGACUGAAAGUGCAGUUCUACAAUUUCUAUAAGACAAUCCACGGUACAAGACUUGGUGAAGUAUGAACUAAAAGGACUUCAGAGCACCUGCGG
Bactrocera tryoni is the source of this 524-nucleotide long non-coding RNA. RefSeq lists it as uncharacterized. Lineage: Eukaryota; Metazoa; Arthropoda; Insecta; Diptera; Tephritidae. The record is from RefSeq and is a predicted model, not a curated record. The transcript is spliced from 2 exons.